GCCUUUGUGGUGUAGUGGUCAGCACGCUCGGCGCGUAUUCGAGAAGUCCGUGGUUCGAAUCCCGGCGAUAGCA
Stegodyphus mimosarum is the source of this 73-nucleotide non-coding RNA. Lineage: Eukaryota; Metazoa; Arthropoda; Arachnida; Araneae; Eresidae. The record is from Rfam.